GUAAAAGAAACUUUCAAAGACAUUCCCCAGUAAGACCUCCCCUCACUCUUUCACUGAUAAUAGGCAAAUUUUAUACUAGUCUCUGACAAAGUCACUGGGACCAACACAAAUUGCUUCAAUUAUGAGGAUUUAUGCAAGUCUCCCUGAGGAGGGUUGAAGGGUUGAAGUCUCCGGGAAAAUGGGGUUUCGCCUUCAAGGAAGAAAGUGCAACAGCAACAGUGUCUAAUAAAAGUACCGACAACAGCAACAAUAGAGACACUAAUGAGGAUACACUGUGUCACACUACUCACAGAAGAAAGCAUACUACUCACAGGCUGCAAGUGGUGCCUCUUGUUUGGUUUUUACCAUCAUUACCCAUUCUUGCUCCUUUAUAUACCGCCACCAGAGAAGAAAUGCAACAAUUCUGUUGCAGCUAAUGAGGAUUGCUUUGUUUGUAACUGUUCUGGUAUAAUUGUAG
This 457-nucleotide long non-coding RNA is filed under the name Capra hircus (goat). RNAcentral describes it as "lncRNA (ENSCHIG00000002587.1)". The record is from RNAcentral. Lineage: Eukaryota; Metazoa; Chordata; Mammalia; Artiodactyla; Bovidae.